RNAcentral lists this small RNA (182 nucleotides) under Arabidopsis thaliana (thale cress). RNAcentral's name for it is "ATSL162220". The record is from RNAcentral. Lineage: Eukaryota; Viridiplantae; Streptophyta; Magnoliopsida; Brassicales; Brassicaceae.
GUUUAUGCAAAUCACUACUUCUCUAUAUCCAAAAUACACUCGACCGCGGUGCUGGCCGCCACGAAGGAGAUGAGGUCGAGUACCCACAGGGCGAAGUAGAGACACAACAAGGAGUUUCUUCAAUGGACUGGGAGCAAUCACAGGCAGCUAUUGACGACCAACUCCGCUCCUUCUUCAACUGA